This 497-nucleotide long non-coding RNA is filed under the name Gossypium raimondii (Peruvian cotton). RNAcentral describes it as "long non-coding RNA (GRAI_LNC005048)". Lineage: Eukaryota; Viridiplantae; Streptophyta; Magnoliopsida; Malvales; Malvaceae. The record is from RNAcentral.
UGGGAAAUGGGAGGAGAAAAUGAUUAGGACGGAAGAGGAGAGGGUCGGGUAGGGAGGGAGGGUAAAACAGAGAGAUGGGGAGGGAGGCCGGAAGUAAUAGCUAAUACAGCGAUUUGGGAAGGGAUUGGAAAACACGGGAAUUUGGGGAUUAGGGGCGUAACCGAUUACGCGCGUAAUACCUAUUACAGCGAACCAAACGCCGGAAUAGGGGCGUAAUGUAAUACGCACGUAAUCGGGGCGUAAUGGAUUGGGUAAUACGGCGAACCAAACACAGUGUUAGAGUUUUGCAAGAUUUUGGUUAUUUCAGAAGUUUUCUGCUGGUAUUCUUUUGGGUUUCCUUGGCUAUGGCUUUGGUUUUGUGGCUGGUUUGUUUUCAUCUGUCUCUUGACGGUCUAUCUCUUUUUUUUUUGCUUUUUGGUUUUGUUUUGUUUGGGUACUUUUAUUGUUGUUUUGAUGUUUCUGUACCUCUUGCCAGACUUUUUCUUGAGCCACUCAUC